CAGAAAGUAGUUUAUUAAAAUAUUAAUUUUGGAGAUUAAAGAAAUUUAAUUCUUUCUGA
This 59-nucleotide transfer RNA is filed under the name Elateroidea sp. 8 KM-2017. Its description in RNAcentral is "tRNA-Pro". The record is from RNAcentral. Lineage: Eukaryota; Metazoa; Arthropoda; Insecta; Coleoptera.